UAGCUAAUACCGGAUAACAACAGAUGAUGCCUAUCAACUGUUUAAAAGAUGGUUCUGCUAUCACUCUUGGAUGGACCUGCGGUGCAUUAGCUAGUUGGUAGGGUAACGGCCUACCAAGGCGAUGAUGCAUAGCCGAGUUGAGAGACUGAUCGGCCACAUUGGGACUGAGACACGGCCCAAACUCCUACGGGAGGCAGCAGUC
RNAcentral lists this ribosomal RNA (202 nucleotides) under uncultured Lactobacillus sp. RNAcentral's name for it is "partial 16S ribosomal RNA". It matches the Rfam family "Bacterial small subunit ribosomal RNA", at positions 160 to 355 of the family's 1533-position model. Lineage: Bacteria; Bacillati; Bacillota; Bacilli; Lactobacillales; Lactobacillaceae. The record is from RNAcentral.